RNAcentral lists this ribosomal RNA (500 nucleotides) under uncultured bacterium. Its description in RNAcentral is "partial 16S ribosomal RNA". It matches the Rfam family "Bacterial small subunit ribosomal RNA", at positions 30 to 523 of the family's 1533-position model. The record is from RNAcentral.
AUUGAACGCUGGCGGAAUGCUUUACACAUGCAAGUCGAACGGCAGCACGGACUUCGGUCUGGUGGCGAGUGGCGAACGGGUGAGUAACAUAUCGGAACGUAUCCAAUAAUGGGGGAUAACGAGUCGAAAGAUUCGCUAAUACCGCAUACGCCCUACGGGGGAAAGCUGGGGACCUUCGGGCCUGGCGUUAAUGGAGCGGCCGAUAUCAGAUUAGGUAGUUGGUGGGGUAAAGGCUCACCAAGCCAACGAUCUGUAGCUGGUCUGAGAGGACGACCAGCCACACUGGAACUGAGACACGGUCCAGACUCCUACGGGAGGCAGCAGUGGGGAAUUUUGGACAAUGGACGCAAGUCUGAUCCAGCCAUUCCGCGUGCAGGAUGAAGGCCCUCGGGUUGUAAACUGCUUUUGUACGGAACGAAAAGGUCUCUCUUAAUACGGGGGACUCAUGACGGUACCGUAAGAAUAAGCACCGGCUAACUACGUGCCAGCCGCCGCGGUAA